This 372-nucleotide ribosomal RNA is filed under the name Anomaloglossus degranvillei (Degranville's rocket frog). RNAcentral describes it as "partial 16S ribosomal RNA". It matches the Rfam family "Bacterial large subunit ribosomal RNA", at positions 1914 to 2422 of the family's 2925-position model. Lineage: Eukaryota; Metazoa; Chordata; Amphibia; Anura; Aromobatidae. The record is from RNAcentral.
GUGACAUUGUUCAACGGCCGCGGUAUUCUAACCGUGCGAAGGUAGCGUAAUCACUUGUCCUUUAAAUGAGGACUAGUAUGAACGGCCACACGAAAGCUAUGCUGUCUCCUUUUUCUAAUCAGUUAAACUAAUCUCCCCGUGAAGAAGCGGGGAUGAUUAUAUAAGACGAGAAGACCCUAUGGAGCUUUAAACAAUUGAAACACUUGUACCCAUCUUUCACACUUCCGACAGCCUACGCUUAAUUUUACACUUUGUUUCUAGCUUUAGGUUGGGGUGACCACGGAGAAAAAACAAACCUCCACGCUGAAAGAGUUAAUCUCUAAACAAAAAGCUACAUCUUUAAGUAUUAAUACAUUAACCUGAAUUGACCCA